GACGAACGCUGGCGGCGUGCCUAACACAUGCAAGUCGAACGGAGUUGAGUGCUUCGGUAUUCAACUUAGUGGCAAACGGGUGAGUAACGCGUGAGGAACCUGCCUUUCAGUGGGGGACAACAGUUGGAAACGACUGCUAAUACCGCAUGAUACUUUUUGGGGGCAUCCCUGAAAAGUCAAAGAUUUAUUGCUGAAAGAUGGCCUCGCGUCUGAUUAGCUAGUUGGCGGGGUAACGGCCCACCAAGGCGACGAUCAGUAGCCGGUCUGAGAGGAUGAACGGCCACAUUGGGACUGAGAUACGGCCCAGACUCCUACGGGAGGCAGCAGUGGGGAAUAUUGGGCAAUGGGGGAAACCCUGACCCAGCAACGCCGCGUGAAGGAAGAAGGCCCUCGGGUUGUAAAACUUCUUUUACCAGGGACGAAGGACGUGACGGUACCUGGAAGAAAAAAGCAAACGGGCUAAAC
RNAcentral lists this ribosomal RNA (465 nucleotides) under uncultured bacterium. Its description in RNAcentral is "bacterial SSU rRNA". It matches the Rfam family "Bacterial small subunit ribosomal RNA", at positions 28 to 502 of the family's 1533-position model. The record is from RNAcentral.